RNAcentral lists this microRNA (21 nucleotides) under Homo sapiens (human). Its description in RNAcentral is "hsa-miR-7978". The record is from miRBase by way of RNAcentral. Lineage: Eukaryota; Metazoa; Chordata; Mammalia; Primates; Hominidae.
UCUGGUGUAUAGCGUUGCUCA